GACGAACGCUGGCGGCGUGCUUAACACAUGCAAGUCGAACGAAGAGCGACGGAAGCUUGCUUCUAUCAAUCUUAGUGGCGAACGGGUGAGUAACGCGUAAUCAACCUGCCCUUCAGAGGGGGACAACAGUUGGAAACGACUGCUAAUACCGCAUACGAUCUAAUCUCGGCAUCGAGGAUGGAUGAAAGGUGGCCUCUACAUGUAAGCUAUCACUGAAGGAGGGGAUUGCGUCUGAUUAGCUAGUUGGAGGGGUAACGGCCCACCAAGGUGAUGAUCAGUAGCCGUUCUGAGAGGAUGACCGGCCACAUUGGGACUGAGACACGGCCCAGACUCCUACGGGAGGCAGCAGUGGGGAAUCUUCCGCAAUGGACGAAAGUCUGACGGAGCAACGCCGCGUGAGUGAUGACGGCCUUCGGGUUGUAAAGCUCUGUUAAUCGGGACGAAAGGCCUUCUUGCGAAUAGUGAGAAGGAUUGACGGUACCGGAAUAGAAAGCCACGGCUAACUACGU
This 509-nucleotide ribosomal RNA is filed under the name uncultured bacterium. Its description in RNAcentral is "partial 16S ribosomal RNA". It matches the Rfam family "Bacterial small subunit ribosomal RNA", at positions 28 to 506 of the family's 1533-position model. The record is from RNAcentral.